AACGAUGUACAGAACCAAACUGCUCCCCGCCUUGUCAGAAUGGUGGAAUGUGCUUACGCCCACAUCUUUGUGUGUGCAAAUCUGGUACCAA
Molecule: long non-coding RNA, 91 nt
Organism: Nanorana parkeri
Lineage: Eukaryota; Metazoa; Chordata; Amphibia; Anura; Dicroglossidae
Exons: 3
Source: RefSeq, a predicted model, not a curated record